AUGUCUCGGCAUGCGCCACUGUAUGGAGCUGGCUUGGAAGCUUUGUCAAUGAAUGAGUUGGAUACAUUAUCACGUAUUCAUGAAGAAGGACUCAGACAGAUCCAUGCCAUCCAACAGCGUAAUGGAAGUCCAGCUGGUAGUCCUGUAGUAAUCCCCCAUAACCUUCCGUCUACUCAUGCGUUGUUUCCUGCUCCUCCAAUAGCUGGUGGAAUGCCCCAACCUCUUGUUCCAAAUGGUGUUGGGAUCCACAUAGUAAUCCCCCAUAACCUUCCGCCUACUCAUGCGUUGUUUCCUGCUCCUCCAAUAGCUGGUGGAAUGCCCCAACCUCUUGUUCCAAAUGGUGUUGGGAUCCACAGCAAUGGCCAUGUAAAUGGUUCUAUGGGGCCCUGGUUCAAUCAUUCUUGAAUCUGGGUCUAGGACGACCCUUGUUUCAAGGUGGCUAGUUGUUUCAUUCUCAGUCCUUGCAGCUAAGUAGGAGAGCAAUGUGUAGGCAGUAGGUAUGGUCAUCUUUUGUUAUUUUCAAGCUCUCUUGGCGUAGGCUGGUACCACUGGGAAAAAUUGGUAGGCGUUGUCCAAUAGCAACCAACAUUUCAAACGACACACUUAUUCAUGGUUUUUACUUUUUCGUCAAAUCAAUUAAAAUGCGUUAGAAAGUUUUGAUUACUGUUUAUCUCGUAUUCGCAGAAAACACUCAAUGAUCGUUCGUGCUUACUAUUUAUUUUCGGGCAGGGGCUAACUAUCAAAAUAAUUGAAAAAUAUCCUGGCAGAUGCCCUGUUAUCUGUAAUUUGCCUGCCUUGUUUGGUGUAUUUUGUUCUUACGGUUUAUUUCUUCUUCCCUUUGCUCCUGUGUCUUGAAUUUUGGGAAUAUGGUCUGAUCACGGCUGCAUUUUCCUUUCUUCGCAUGUCUCAACAUUCCAGAUCGUAUAAAUUGGGUUGAUCAGUUCCCUCAAAUAGCACUCGACACCUUCAGAGUUGGAAACUCUCUAGUGUCAUCCUCAAUGUUUGUNNNNNNNNNNNNNNNNGGGAAGGGGGAGCGUGGGGCUCAAAGUGAAAGGGAUAUUGUCGACAGUUACAGUCAGUAUAGGAGAUCAUUUGUCAUUGGACCAAAAUAUUAGGAAAUUAACAACUUCAUACUUAAAAUACAGUCGGUGCAAACACACGGCCACACAUUUUUUGGCGAGCAAGAAUAACAUUAACCAGAACCAGACACUAAAAUGAUGACGAUACUGGUGACUCCGAUGACUGUAACAGAACUCAAUUCAACUUUUCACCGGUGUUGAUAGCGGGAUUGUUAAUAUCUUUUCUUUUUAGCUUUGAAAUUGUUACACAAAUGGUUGGUGUUUACCUUUUUUAUUCGGUGUGCAUAAAUUACGCGCGCACACAUAUAUACACAUACAUACUUGUCUCUCUACACGAGUGUUGCACGUGAAUUUCAUAUUAUUUUUAGAAUGUGUAUAGUAAAAAUUACUCAAUAUAUAUAUAUUUGAAAAUAUUUAAUUUAAUUUAUUUAAUUAUAAAUUUAAAUGUAGCAAAAGUUAGCAUUCUCGUGUAAUCUUAAGAUCUUUUGUAAAUAAAUUAAGUCAAACAAACAUAUUCUUUGACCAACUCUAUUUAUGUUCUUCUAGUCAUUUAUGAUAUUUUUCAUAUCCUUCCUCCGUACUAAUGCCACCCCUGCAAGACUGAUUUGGGUUCCAGAGUUGUUAUAAGGGCGGGACGGCGAGAGGAGGAAGCUACUACUACCGGGCGAGAUGUUAGUGGAAAAGAAUAGGGUUCAGAGGAGAGGUCACAAGCUACCACUACUACGUAAUCUACUUCUACUGCUACUUGAAAUCGAUUCUCUUUCAUGACUCUCUUUCUCAUUCUCUUUCCACCACUAGUUAGAAAUAGACAAGAGCAUUCCCUGGAACAGGCCUACGAGAGGUAUUCAACAAGCGCCACUCAACUGCGCAAACUAAGCCCUCCAUAGAAGUUCAAGGAAGUAAAGCUACAUACUACUGGAAAGAGAUGGGCUUUCUCCUUUCUAUUUCUUGCGGGCUAUUGAUUUCGGGUUGAGACUUUGCUUGCUUACUUUCACACUUCCUUCAGUGAGCUACUUAAGGUUUAAGGUAAGGGGCACUCCUAGCAUAGAUUACCAUUCUAACCGCAACAGAUGAGGGGGAAAAGAAAAGACUAGCCAAAGAAAACGAAGCUUUGCGAGCCCAAAUUCAGAAAAUGAAAAUAGUCGCAGAGAAUCCUACCAGAAGUGCGAAGGAUGAAAAGCUCAUAGACAAUCUGAGACGGAAAGUAGGAGAAUAUGGUUUUGACUUGAACAAAGUAGAGGGUGAGCUGUCUAGGGUCCGAAAACAAUUGGCCAAAAUGCAGAAGAAUGGGCACGCAUGAUUAAACAAUUGAGAGAAAGGUGUGACAAUGAGGUUGCAGGGUUGACGAAGAGGGUCAUCAUGGUCGAAAACAAAAUGGUUAAGCAAGCGAAGGACUUCAAGGCGGAAAGAGAGCAUUGUUACAUAGCAAUAGCACGGCUGGAGAGAGAUUUGCAACAAUUUCAAGAACUAAGUCGUAUAGUCGAAGAAACUUUGGAGGCCAGGGCCUAGCAAAUUGGGCGAUUGUUGCAGGAAAAGGGUGCUAUAAGAGAGAGGGUACGGAUGAUCGUUGAUUACAUCACCGUAAAGUGUAGCCACUGUGAAGCUAUGACAAGAUCUAUGUUCUUUUCCACCGCAAUGACCUUUGUUCGUCAAGUGAUGGAAGACCUCCACCACCUUCAAGGGGAUUUAGCACGCAGGCCUGCGACGAGACCGAAUGAUAUCCCGCAGGCCCCAGAAGCAUUACAUGAUUUAAUAUAUUCUUAAUUUUCAAGUCUGUUAGUCCAUAGUGAAGUCUGUAUUUUCUUUUAUUCGAGUCUGUAGUAGGUUUGUCAAGUCAGUUAUUUUCACCUUUACGUUCGAAUCUGUUGGUUUCGUUUGAGGCAGAGUCUGUUGAUUUCUUUUACUAAAGUCUGUUAGUAGUUGUAAUCAAGUGCUUUACUUUAUGAAAAUUGAAAAAUUUCCAACAUAUUUUCUAUAUUUAUUCGCCAGAACUGUGCUCGGUCUGAUUCAUGGGGGUCAUGAUACGUAGGCAAUCUCCAUAGGAUUUGACCAUGACUGAAAUAUAGCAAGGAAAGAAAAAGAGAGAGAUAAAAUCAUGAGAGAAGCAACAGUAAAAUAACGGAUAGAAUAAUGAAACAAAAGAAGGUAGGCAAAAUAAGUUGAGCAAAAGAAAAAGGGAAGAAGAAAAGGAAACAAAGAGAGAAAAGAAAAGCGGUAUAGGAUAAAAGCCGGGAUAAUGCAAGCAGCCAAUCCAUAUGCAUAUUAGAAACGGGUAACUGCUUAGGUGCAUUCAUCCCCGAAUAUGUGGCAACCUAUGUGUUGAAGCCUAACCACUAACAAGUUUUGGUGUUCCUUUGCCAUCUCAGACAGGUGGUUAGUUUUGCGGCAUUCUGGCAACCCACUCCUAUAACACUCGGUCCAAAAGCAAGCUGACUAUGGCAAACCAAGAUACAGACACAAGUAUCAUUGAUCCCUCAAAAGAGGUAGAAGAGUUGGAUGUUAACAUAAUGAAAGAAGAGAUGUACAAACUGAAGCAUCAGAUGGCUGAAAUGUAUCAAGCAUGGGUGAGAGGGCAGCCACCACCAGCUUAUCCUGCUAACCCGACCUUCAUCCCACCAUUAUCCCAGUCACAUCAGCACCCUACCACUGAUACACCCCCAAGCUUCCCCAUCUACCAACAAUACCAUGGUACAACUUCCCAGGCAUCACAAGCUUCACCACCCAAAGCUGUUCCAUACCCCCUCUACUAGUUGCUCCCAUCUAUGUGGCACCUCCUCCCGCCGCACUCCACAGAUCAUCCAGUGAACUUUUGUUCCAAGCUCAUGAUAACCAGUAUUACCUACCAGAACCCCCUUUCAAGGCCAAUGAACCCUACUCUUAUGCUCCUCGUUUUGAAAUCCUGGUUAAGGCUGAAAAACCAAUCAAACAUCCCGUGCAAGAGGAGGUUCUCAGGAAAGUCAAAAGUCUAGAGCAAUCAUUCAGAGAUGCGGGGGUUAGCAUGCCAAGUGAGUGUGGCAUACAAAGAUCUUUGUUUGUUCCCAGAUGUACAAUUGCCUCCAGGCUUUAAGAUGCCCAAGUUUGACUAUUACUACGGGUAUGGUGAUCUGGUGGCACACCUAAGGGGUUUCUACACAAAAACGAGAGGGGCAUGUGGAAAGGAUGAAUUACUGAUGGCAUACUUCAGUCAAAGUUUGAGUGGUUCAGUGUUGGAAUGGUACACUUGGUAGGAUCAUGCUCAGUGGUAUACAUGGGACGAUCUAGCGCAAGCAUUCUCCUGUCAUUUUCAGUACAAUCUUGAAAUUAUUCCGGAUCGUCUGUCUUUGACAAAACUGGAAAAAAGCACAAUGAGAGUUACAGAGAUUAUCGCUUCUGUUGGAGGGAGCAGGAAGCAAUGGUCGACCCACCAAUGAAGGAAAUUGAAAUGGUAGAUUACUUCUUACAAGCAUUGGAGCCUACAUAUUUUGUUCACCUAGUAUCGGCAGUGGGUAAAUCCUUUAACGAGGUAGUAAAGAUAGGGAGCAUGGUAGAGGAAGGACUCAAAUACAAUAAGAUUAUGAGUUAUUUAGCAGUCAAAGCAACCACACAGGCUAUCCAAAGUGGGACCGGGGGAGCAAUUGGAAAGAAGAAGAAUGAGGAAGUAGCAACCAUUGAAUCAGGGACUUGGUUCGGGCCUCUGGGUCCAUGCUAUUACAACAAACCCCGACCUCACCAGCAAAUCUACCCUCACACUCCAUAUAGCCCACCACAACACUGCUACCCACCUCUUGAUCCCUGUUUCUUGGUCCAUCAUGCACAAACAUAUACUCAACCUCCAGCCUAUGCACAAUGGUGUGCUCCAACCCCACAAAAUAAUUAUCCAGCUUCACAAAAUAACUAUCCUCCAAGAGCCUACCAAUAACCCCCAAGACCAGCUUUCCGGGCAAACCAAGUUUUAAAAACUGAGAGAAUGCAGGAGAAUAAAACCUUCACUCCUUUGGGAGAAUCAUAUACCACCUUAUUCCACAGAUUGAGACAGUUAGAUAUGUUUAGGCCGAUUGAAGCAAAAUUGACAAAUCCCCCUCCAAGAAAUUUAGACUAUUCUGUCAGUUGUGAGUAUUGUUCUGGCACCCCGGGCCAUCACACAGAGAAAUGUUGGCAUCUGAAGUGUGCUAUUCAGGAACUCAUUAAUUCACAUUGGAUUGAGUUUCAAACUCCAGAAGCACCCAAGAUUAAUCAAAACCCACUGCCUGCUCAUCAAGAGACAAAUAUGAUUGAGAUAGUGCACAAAGAGAGGGAGACCAAAAAGACUUCGCAAACUGUCAUGAUGAUCCGAGCCAGUGAACGAAAGUUGGUUGAGAAUUUAACAAGCGAGAUGUCGACGCUUAAGUUAGGUGGGGCAAGUAGUGAGCCUUUCGUUUUAGCCAGGAAGGAAUUCCCGAAAGACGGGAUGGUGAAAUAAGAAAACGCAAAGCAAGCCUGUGGUUGUUGUGGAAGGCGCUCGCAUAGAGCCUGUCAUUAUCAAAACCGUAACUCAGCUACCGAAGAUCAGCAGCAAAGCCGUACCUUGGAAUUAUGACCUACUAACAGUGACUUACAAAGGGAAAGAGGUUAGAGAAGAAGUUUGUGAGACCCAUGGAUUGACCCGGUAGGGGAGGUGCUUUACCCCCAAAUAAUUGAGAAAAUCAAAACCAACCAAGGACAACUCAGCGCCGGUGAAGAAAACUGUGAGUGAAGAGGAAGCAAAAGAGUUUCUGAAGAAGAUGAAAAUGCAGGAUUACUCUAUUGUGGAGCAACUGAGAAAUACGCCUGCUCAAAUCUCGCUGUUAUCAUUGUUGAUUCAUUCGGACGAGCACCGUCGGGCGUUGAUAAAGAUACUGAACGAGGCCCAUGUUCCUGAUAAAAUAACAGUCAAUCACUUGGAGAAGAUAGCCAACAAGAUUUUUGAGGUGAAUAGAGUCAUUUUUUCUGACGAUGAAUUUCCCAUUGAAGGCACCGAGCAUAAUAGAGCAGUCUAUCUCAUGGUAAAGUGUGAGGAUUCUGUGGUUAAUCGAGUGUUGGUUGAUAAUGGUUCAAGUGCAAAUAUUAGCCCUCUUUCCAGUUUCAACAAGUUGAAGGUAGAUGAUGAAAGAAUUCAGAAGAACAAUAUUUAUGUGCGAGGAUUUGAUGGCAGUGGAAAAGAUUCGGUCGGUGACAUAGUGCUCGAAUUGACAAUCAGACCAGUUGAAUUUACCAUGGAAUUCCAAGUGCUGGAUGUGGCUGUCUCUUACAACCUGCUGUUGGGACGACCUUGGAUCCACGCUGCUAGAGCAGUCCCCUCUACUUUGCAUCAAAUGGUGAAAUUUGAAUGGGAUCGACAAGAAAUAGUUGUGCACGGCGAGGACCAUAUAUAUGCUCAUAGUAAUGCUAUUGUACCAUUCAUUGAGGCAGAUGAUGACAAGGGGCCCUGGAUGUAUCGGGUUCAUAAUACAGUAUCUGUAAGAAAAUUGCGAGAGGGAGAGUGUGUUCCAACACCAAGGUUAGCUGCUGCGUCAGUCAUGGUGGCUGUUGAGAUGUUAAAGAACGGGUUUAUUCGGGGCGUCACUUCAAGGUAUCUCUCCCAUGAACAUGGAUACCUUUUGUUUGGGAUUCAAUACCACAGUUGCAGACAUCAAGAGAGACAGAAGGAUGAAGAAGAAAGCAUGGGCCCUCCCCAAGCUUGUGCCUCGUCUCUUCAGAUUAUUUGUUAGGCCCGCGCCAAGAAGCGCCAGGCAACAACAAGUUCUAGUACUGUGGGUGAUCCUGAUAAGGGAUUACUUGAAAGGUUUGGGAAGUUGUUUGAAGAUGUGAAUGUGGUAGAAGCCGGAGAGGGCUCUAGCAAGGCAGAUGUGUAAUUUGUUGGGCCCUAUGCAAAAAACAACAAUUAGGAAGCCACUCCUCUCCCCAACAGGAAGGAGUUUUGGUAGUUUGCUUUGAUUUUUCUUUCAAUUUCUCAGGUUUAUUCCAGGGUUGUAAUUCCGAGUCUAUGUUCCGUCCGUUUGGAUGUGUAAAACCUUGUUAUCUUUCAACUUCAAUGAAAUGCAAUUUCCCUUUUCAUCAGUGUUGAUAGUUUUUAUUUUUCUUUGCUUUUCUUUUCCUUCUUAUACAGUUAUUUUUAUGCUGGCUCCAAUGAUAUGACAUACAUAAGGACUCCUUGGCCCAGUGUUGAAAGCCGGUCUAGUUUUGAAGUAAUAAUUCAAGAAAUAGAAUAUGAGGAUGAACCAGAAUAUGAUGAGGAAAGAGUGUUUGAGGAAAUUAGUAAAGAGUUGAGCCAUUUUGAGGAAAAUCCAAGCCAAACCUGAGCAAUACAAAAUCAAUCAAUCUAGGGGACCAGGCAAUAUCAGAGAAACCACAAUAAGUAUCCAUAUUGAGCUGCAACUUAGGGAAGAAAUAAUCGAAGCCUUGUUUGAAUACAAAGAUGUUUUUACAUAGUCUAUGAUGAUAUGCCAGGGUUGAGCACUGACUUAGUGGUUCACAAAUUGCCCACUGACCGUGCCUUCCCUCAUGUUAAACAAAAGUUGAGGAUAUUUAAAACUGAUAUGAGUGUAUAGAUCAAAGAGGAAGUUACCAAAUAGUUUGAGACAAAAGUCAUCCGAGUCACCCGAUGUCCCACCUGGUUAGCCAAUGUCAUGCCUGUGCCAAAGAAGGAUGGUAAAACUAGGGUGCGUGUAGAUUAUCAUGACCUCAACAAAGCGAGUCCCAAGGACAACUUCCCACUGCCGAAUAUCCACUUAUAUGCCACUAGAUUUUGAAGGAUGAGGAGGAUGCGGAGAAUACAACAUUCAUCACACCGUAGGGAACAUAUUGCUAUAGGGUCAUGCCUUUCGGUCUGAAGAAUGUUGGGGCAACCUAUAUGAGAGCAAUGACAACCAUAUUCCACGAUAUGAUACAUAAGGAGAUUGAGGUCUAUGUGGAUGAUGUACCCUUUGGUCUGAAGAACGCUGGGGCAACAUAUAUGAGGGAAAUGAAAACCAUCUUUCUUGAUAUGAUACAUAAGGAGAUUGAGGUCUAUGUGAAUGAUGUAAUUGUGAAAUCCAGACAGCAAUCCGACCAUGUCGGAGACUGAGGAAAUUCUUCUAGAGGCUCCGCAGGUAUAAUCUCAAACUCAAUCCUGCGAAAUGUGCAUUUGGUGUGCCAUCAGGGAAAUUGCUAGGAUUCAUAGUCAGCCGCCGAGGCAUUGAACUAGAUCCAUCAAAGAUCAAAGCCAUACAAGAAUUGCCGCCUAUGAAGAACAAAACACAGGUGAUGAGUCUGUUAGGGAGAUUGAAUUACAUCAGUCGAUUCAUUGCUCAGCUUAUGAAAACCUGCGAGCCGAUCUUUAAGCUGUUGAAAAAGGAUGCCACGUCAAAUGGAUGGAGGAAUUCCAGGAGGCAUUUGAUAAAAUAAAAGAAUACUUGCAAACCUACCGAGGAACAAAAAAGAGGUAAUGAUUCUAUUUGGAAGAUUGAAUUACAUCAGUAGAUUUAUUGCUCAGCUCACGACGACUUGUGAGCCCAUCGUUAAGCUGUUGAAAAAGGAUGUUGCGGUGAAAUGGACGGAGGAAUGCCAGGAGGCUUUUGAUAAAAUAAAAGGAUACUUGUCGAACCAAUCGGUAUUGGUCCUACCGAAACAUGGGAGGCCUUUGAUCCUAUAUCUGACAGUCUUGGACAACUUAUUUGGAUGUAUGCUGGAUCAGCAUGAUAUCACAAGGAGAAUGGAGUAGGCCAGAUACCAUCCCAGAUCAUAGCUUAUGAGGUCAAGUACACUCAUCUUGAAAGGACGUGUUGUGCUCUAACUUGGGUAGCAUUAAAGUUGAAACACUACCUAUCAUCAUAUACUACUUACCUCAUUUCACGCAUGGACCCGUUGAAAUACAUCUUUCAAAAGCCAAUGCCCACAGGGAGGCUUGCAAAAUGGAAAAUCUUGCUCACCGAGUUCGAAAUUGUCUAUAUAACUAGGACUACAAUGAAAACACAUGCAUUGGAUGAUCAUCUAGCCAAAAAUCCGGUGGACGAAUAAUAUGAACCUUUAAAGACAUACUUCCUGGAUGAAGAAGUGAUGCAUAUUGAUGAAAUGGAACAUGACGAGAAGCCUGGAUGGAAGCUAUUCUUCUAUGGGGCCGCCAACAUGAAGGGCGCCAGGAUAGGAGCAGUACUCUUUUCUAAGACGGGGCACCAUUACCCCGUUACAGCUUAGCUCCGCUUCUAUUGAACAAUAUGAGGCAUGUAUUUUGGGUCUGAGGUUAGCUGCAGACAUGAGUGUCCGGGAAGUCUUGGUCUUGGGGGACUCAAACCUUCUGGUACACCAGAUUCAAGGGGAAUGAGAAACACAAGAUUUGAAGCUCAUACCAUAUCAGAAAUGCUUGCAUGAUCUUUGUCAAGAAUUCCGGUUAGUAGAGUUCAUGCAUAUACGAAGAACACACAAUGAGGUUGCUGAUGCCUUGGCUACUUUGGCAUCAAUGUUACAUCAUUCAAAUAAGGCUUAUGUUUACCCGCUGCAUAUCAAGGCCCAUGACCAACAUGCGUACUGUAAUGUGGUGGAAGAGGAGCUUGAUGGUAAACCUUAGUUUCACGACAUCAAAGAAUAUAUCAGGAUGGGUGAAUAUUGGUAAAAGCCUCAAGUGAUCAAAAGAGAACAAUUCGUCGCUUGUCAAGCGAGGUUUUCUUCAGUGGAGGGGUACUGUACAAAAGAACACCGGAUCUUGGGUUGUCGAGAUGCAUAGAUGCUAGACAGGCCACAACCAUCAUGACCGAGGUACAUUCUGGAGUUUGCGGACCUCAUAUGAGUGGGUAUGUUUUUGGCAAUGAAGAUCCUCCGGGCAGGGUAUUAUUAGCUCACCAUGGAACGAGAUUGUAUCAGUUUCAUACGCAAAUGUCAUCAAUGUCAGGUGCAUGGAGAUUUUAUUUAAUCACCACCAUCUGAAUUACAUAAAAUGUCUGCACCAUGGCCCUUCCUUGCUUGGGGCAUGGAUGUCAUCGGACCCAUCGAGCCAGCAGCUUCUACUGGACACAGGUUCAUCCUGGUUGCUAUUGAUUAUUUUACCAAAUUGGUCGAAGCUAAAACUUUCAAGGUGGUGACCGAGAAGUCCGUGGUUGAUUUUGUGCAUUCAAAUAUCAUUUUCUAGUUUGGAAUCCCGAAAAUACUCAUCACUGACAAUGGAGCAAACCUCAACAGUUAUUCGAUAAAAGAGGUAUGUCAGCAGUUUAAGAUUACACAUCGCAAUUCCACCCCAUACCGCCCAAGGCGAAUGGAGCACUUGAGGCAGCCAAUAAGAACAUAAAGAAGAUACUUUGAAAAAUGGUGGAAGGGUCCAGAAAAUGGCAUGACAAGCUACCUUUUUCAUUGUUAGGAAAUCGCACUACUGUUUGCACCUCGGUAGGGGCAACUCCGUAUUUGUUGGUGUAUGGCACAUAAGCAGUUAUACUGGCAGAAAUUGAAAUCCAAUCCCUUCUGAUUGUCGCCGAGGCAAAAAUUGAUGAUGAUGAGUAGGUCAAAACUUGCAUGGAACAAUUAAGUUUUAUUGAUGAGAAAAGAUGAGCAGCAGUGUGUCACGACCAAUUGUAUCAACAGAGAAUGGUCAGAGCAUAUAACAAGAAGGUUCGCCCAAGAAGGUUUGAAGUGGGUCAAUUGGUAUUGAAGCGCAUCCUCUCUCACCAGGUAAAGGCAAAGGGCAAGUUCGCCCCAAAUUGGCAAGGGUCGUUCAUCGUGUCAAGAAUGUUGUCCAACGGAGCAUUGUAUCUAACAGAUGUAGAAGGCAAGUGCGUAGAAACGACCAUCAAUUCUGAUGCAGUUAAGAGAUAGUAUGUAUGAUUGUCUUUGAUUAAAUCAUAUUUGUUUGUACUUGGUACGUUUGUUUGUACUAGGCAUAUUUUAGAGAUUGGAAUAAUGAAGGCAUUUUAUUUGGCUAUCUAAACACUUUAUCCCUUGUUGACCCUUUCGAGCUUUAAUUAUUUUCUUGCACACCCCUCUUUCGGAAUCAAUAUCUAAAUUAGAAGCGCAAGUCUGAGAAAUGAGUAAAGGGAAAAGAAAAGGGAAAAAUGAAAAGAAAAAAAAGAGAGAAGAAAAGUAGAAGAAAAGAAAUAAAAGAAAAAGAAAGAAAAAGAAAAAUAAUGAAAAAGAAAGGAAAAGAGAAAAAAACACAAAAUAACAAAACAACAAAGGGAAAAAGGAAGAAAUAAAAGAAAAGAGUGAGAAGAAAGAGAAAAGAGAAAAUCACGACAAAAACAAAGCAGUUCUUGAGGAUGAACUACAUUUGACCUGAUUUCUUUUAAGGAUACGUAGGCAGCCUCACGGUUCGGUCUCAUUAAAAUAAAAAUCCAAAAAGUCCCCAACCAAGAAACUAGGCUAGAAGUUGUGUUUGUUGUAAAAGAUUUGAUUCCGAAAGUUGUAAUGUUGAACCUAUUUGAUUUGUUUUGAGCCGGUAAUACUCUUUCUUUCUAACCUUAUCCAAAAGCCUGUAUUACGGUCCAAAAAAAGACCUUCCAAUCAGUAUGUAAGAAAUGCCAAGUUAAGCAAGAAAAGGUGAUUCAUACCCGGGGCAACACUCUAGUUCGAGCAAGACAAGAUGAAAAUGAGAGAGUCUUAUCGGUGAAAACCCUCACGGGCACCGUAAGGUGACGGGAGUCGAGAGAAAACCAAAAUGAGAGUCUUGUUGGUGAAAACUCUCACGAUCACCUUAAGGCGAAGAUAAGUCGAGAAAUGAAAAACUGGAAAGGGUUGCUGGUGUAAAUCUGUUCAGAACACCGCAAGAUAAGUAAGGUCAAGGUGUGAUUAAAGAAAUUGGGUUAAGGAAAGUCACAACAACAGGGCAUGGCAACUGAAGGCCGAUCAUUUGAAGAGACUGGGUCGACUAAGCCGAAGUGCAUGUCAUGAUCAUUAGAAUCAGAUGUUCCUUCACAGAUAAGUUUCUCCUCUUGUCCCCUCAGUAGUCACCAAAUUUGGAAUUCUUUUAUUCUAAAAACAAAACAACUCAGAGUCAUUGCAUUUCAUUUUUUCUUUCGGGUCCCCAUUCUUCUAAGAUGUUUUAAGGAUAAAUUUGUUUAAGCAGGUAGGAGAGAAAUUUCAAAGCUUGCUACCAGCUCCCAAAUGGUAAAGCACAUUGCGGCUAAAAUAUAACAAAGGUAGCAGAAGUUAAAAUGGCAAUUGAAAGAAUCAUGAAAGAUUCGUCAAUGAAAUGAUUCGGUAAUCUCAGAAAAGAGGUAAAGAUAAUGGCAAGAGGUUUAAGAAUGUAAUACAAUGAUGGGGAACAGAGCACUCAGUUCAUCUAAAAGCCAUAGGGUUCAGGGGUCAGCCGAACAAAUCAAGGUGACUCAUAGUCAGGAGGGGAAUGUUGGACACAACGGAGCGUGACAGCGGGAAGGCCAUUUUCAGCAAGAAGUGCCGCAAGCUAACCACCGCAUUUCAAACUGACAAGAUUUUUUUUGAUUGAAACAGGGGCAGGAAAUUCCAGAUGCCUUGGGGAAGUUCUCCAUUGAAAAAGCAAGCAGCUGGUAGGUAUGAGUGUGAACUUCAGGACCCUCCUGGAAAAUGGGACUUAGUUUAAGACUCAAACAGUCACGGGAAUAUGAUCUGGCUCAAUUAUUCCCAAUAGGAGUCGUCAGGGCCCUCCUGGUAGUGAGAUGUAACUUUAACUAGCAAUCCCCAACAGAGACAACCGAGAGUCAAAAUUGACAUUUAAUUGAAAUUCUCAAGACCUCCCUGAAAAUGGGACCUAUCUAAAGGUUGGGGAUAAUCAUGAAUAACAAAGAGCAUAAAGUGACUUGCAAGAGAUAGGAUACACAUAGGAAUUGUUAGGGCCCUCAUGAAUAAUGGGGUGUAACUAUAAUUGGCAAUUCCCCAGCAGAGACAACCAAGAUUUUAAUAUUGGAAUUUAAUUUGGAGUUCUCAGGACCCUUCUGGAUAAUUUGAUUUAAUUUUAUAAGUUUUCAGGACCCGCCUGGAUAAUAGGAUUUAAUUGUAAAAUCUUUCAGGACCCUCCUGGAUAAUAGGACGUUCUUUAAGUGCUGAUCCCCAUCAGACAUGAUUUGGAUUUAAAAUGGGUCUUAAUUAAGAGUUGUCAGGACCUUCUUGGAUAAUGGGACGCAACCUUAAUAUUCUCUUAAAUAACAAGACAUAGGGGAAAUAAUACUUCUAGAGGCGCAACCUAGUCUUAGAGUUGUUGUUAGUUAAGAAUUGUCGGGACGCUCUUAGAUAAUAGGAUGUAACUUUAAUUACUGGUCCCCAACAGAUAUACCUUAGAUAACAAGACAUAGUGGAAGUAAUACCUUUGGAGAACAUAGCCUAAUCUUAUAGUUGUUAUUAGUUAAGAGUUGUGAGGACCCACUGGAUAAUAGGAUUUAGCUUUCAAAGAUAUUUGGUAACAGGAUUUGAUUAAUACUCACAGAUGCAUCCAGCACCAAGCUAGGGAAGAACAAAUUUCUUUUGUUUUGUUUGUUUUGUUGUAAUCAGAUUUAAAGGCAGCAGUUUCAGGGAAUACUUUUCAAGUAUUUGCAAUCAGGCGCCCACCUGGAUAACAAAGGAAUACUUUUCAUGUUUUUGCAAUCAGGCGCCCAGCUGGAUAACAAGGGAAUACUUUUGAAGUUUUUGCAAUUAGACGCCCAUCUGGAUAAUAAGGGAAUACAUUUUAAUUUUCAAGUUUCAAGUUUUGAUAAUCAGGCGCCUACCUGGAUAACAAGGGAAUACAUUCGGUAAUCAGGCGCCCACCUGGAUAACAAGGGAUUACAUUCCAAGUUUUGGUAAUCAGGCGCCUACCUGGAUAACAAGGGAAUAUAUUUCAAACUUUGGUAAUCAGGUGCCCACCUGGAGAAUAAGGGAAAACAUUUUCAAGUUUUUGUUAAUCAAGCGUCCAUCUAGAGAACAAGGGAAUACAUUUCAAUUUUUAUUCAUGUUUUGGUAAUCAGGCGCCCACCUGAAGAACAAGGGAAUACAUUCCAAGUUUUGGUAAUUAGGUGCCCACCUGGGUAGCAAGGGAAUACAUUUUCAAGUUUUUGGCAAUUAGACACCCACCUGGAGAACAAGGGAAAACAUCUCAAAUUAAAAUUCAAAGCGGCAACAAAGGAGUUUCACCAGGAGAAUACAAGUCAACAAGGCAACAAGGAAUUUUCACAGGAGGAUACACAAGUCAACAAGGAAACAAGGAUCGAUAGCAAGUUGGAGGACAUAGAUAGGUUCUUUUCUAAUCCAUAGAUCAUAGCCUAGUCUAGCUUCUUUUUAUUUUUACAUGUUAUGAUAAGGGGUCUAGCAAGCAGCAGCAGUAGCAGCAGUAGCAGCAGCAACAAUGAGAUCACAACUUCGGUAAUCCCAGCUACCAAACACUCCUGAACUACACUGACCUGAUUCCUUUUUAGCCAAGGAUAUGUAGGCAGCCUUUGAAGCAGGGUGUGUUCAAGAUUUUAAAAAAUGCUUCUCACGGAGUAUUCGAACGGGCCAAAAUCGCUCGUAUCCGCUCACUUAUCUUUGCACAAAAACUCUUCGUGUUUCGGGACAAAGGGGGGCAGUUGUGAGCAUGUGAUUUUUUCCCUACACAAAUUACUCCUAUAAAUUCAAAUAAAAUAAUUUCUUUUAUUUAUUUGCAAUUUUAUCGAUUUUUGUGGUAUUUUCUGUUAAUUGUUUGCGUUUUGUUUGUGCAUUUUAAUUAGUAAAAAAUAUAAAAAUAUGUUACAUGUGCAUUUAGAAGUUGAUUUGAUAUUUUUCAAGUAUUAAUUAGUAAUUAGUCAUUUUAUAAAAAAGAAAAAAUCAAAAAAUAGUUUAAUUUGCACUUUUAAUUUUAACUUUGAUUUUAGGUGAUUUUGCUUUCAAUUUUGUUUAAUUUAUUUGUGAUAAUCAUUUUAGGAUUAAUUAGCAUGUUUUUUUUGGUGGUUUUUCUUUUACUUUUGUUUAAUUUAUUGGUGAUAAUGAUUAUGUAGGAUAUAUCAACAUUUUUAUAGGUUGAUUUGGGAUUUAUAUUUAAUUUAGGAUUCCUAGUUUUAAUUUGGAAAAAAAAAGAGAGAGAUUAAAAGCUGAAAAAUAAAGAUAAAGAAGAAGACCCAAAUUGGGCUAAUUGUAUUAAAUUCCCAGCCCAAAUAACCCCCUAACUCGGUCCCAUGCCCGUCCCAGACCUUGUCCAUCCCCCUUAAAAAACCAAACAACAUCGUUUAGCAUGGUUUAAUCUCAGCCGUCUAGGAUCUUUGAUACAACAGAUGAGAACUAAGGAGAGUUAAUAUAUAUAUGUCCGAACACCACAAAAUACCCCCAAUCCCCCAGUCUCUAACCUCUCGUACCUAAAACACUAUAACCACCCUGUCUCCGCCACCCAUCGCCGUCCGUCCCAGCCGAAAAUUGCCCACGGUGGCGACGGAGCUCCAAUCGUCCCCAAAUUUACACUGCCGAUUCCCCUCCCUCUCCUCUACCAAAAUCCACCACCACAAUCCCUCAAAACCAAGCCGAACUUCUUGAAUAUUGGCCAGAAGCACUGGCUCCUCCACCAAACAUGGCGGUGCCGCCGCUAAUCCACCCCAAAAUCACACCAAAAGACCCUUUCCCCUCCCUCAUUCCAAAUCCUCAGUAACAAUCCUUCAAAACAUCCCUUACUGCUCAAAUCUCAAAUCAGAAUCAAGCCCUGAGAGUAAAAAAACAACAAAAAUAGAUUCAUGCAUGCGAGUCAAGCCAGUACUUCAAGGAUUUCAAGUUCGAUUGGUUAGUUUUUAUGUUUAUUUUACCUCUUGAUUUCCUUCUUGACUUCUCCUUUUCUUUACGGUUAAGGUUUGGACUUCAAGUUUAUCUUCUGUAAAUAAGUUUGAUUUUAGUAUUCCCGCCUUUAGAUUAAUUUGGAUAUGUUCUUUGAUUUUGGUUGUUUUUCAAAUCCCGAAACUGGUUCGUUGAGCCCUUGAUUAGUUUUAUCUCAAUUCAGAUUAGUUAGUUUGUAUUGAUUUAGUAAUGUAGUUAAUACCUUGCCUAGCUGUGAAUUGUUCAGAAUUAUUUUGAAAUCCUUUGGGUCAGUAAUGCCUGAGUUCAUUUGGUUAAGUGCAAUUGGGUGUUGGGCUGUCUGUGAGUCAAUUGGCAAUGAGCAGCCCACCCAAUUUGAUUCAGGCUAUUGGGUCAAAGUUUGGACCCAUAUUGGCCUGGUUCUCAAGGUAAUUUCAUAGAAUAGGAGGGAAAUAUAGGCAAUUGCUCAGGGAAUCUUAUCGUAACAAUAAUAGGGAGCCUCUAGUAGGAGCUUUCUGUUAAUUUUGGGUAAUAAAACUUUGUCCACAAGUUAGAAACGGAGGGACCUAAAUGAAAUAAAAAAUCUGAAAGGUACCCUAAUUAUUUGCCUAUAAAGGCAUUCGUUCUUGCCUUAGGAAAAGAGGAGGAUAUUUUAAAAAGUUUGCAGAGUUCGAAAGAGAUUUUGAUGAUAAAAAAACUCAGCCGGCCAGAAUUCAGGUUAAAAAACACUGUUCCAUUGAACAUCUGUUCUGGACUCUGAAGUUUUCAUUGAUUCCUUUCAGUUCCUGAAAUUCUCAAGCUUUGAAAUACUUCAUGGUUAAUCUGGGGUUGAAUAUGGUUUAAUUUGAGGUUUGGCAAUUGGUUUUGGGGUUGCUAUUGUCCCAUUGAACGCUUGCUGGAAUUUUGAGGGUUUGAAUUUCUAAUAUAAUUGCUUGAUUCUAUUAUACUAAAAUGAGUUGAGUGCUGUUUGUUUGAAUUUGGGUAUUAGAGUCAGCCGGGUUAUAUUAGAUUGGUUGUUUUUGGAGUUGUUCAAAUCAGUCUUUGGGAUGCUGUUAAGGUUGCUACUGCUGUUGCUUGUGAUGUGCUUACCCAUUCCUUUUUCCUCUGACACUCAGGUACACAAUUUUGUAACUCCUUGACUGUGAAGUGAAGAAAUGAAAUGAAAUGAAGAUCCUGAAGUAUUUCACCAGAUUUUGUAACUUAUUUACAAUGUUCUUCGUAAAAUCUGUAUGUUGACAAUAUGAUGCAAUAUGGUGUGAUUUGCCUUUAGAUAGACUAGCUAUAUCACAUGUUUUGUAAUUGAACUGAGGACUGUCAGAGAAUUCAGUAGUUGCUUCUUUGAUAUGCACUUUUAGAGCUAUGAAAAAUGGGUACUUAGUUGGUGUGGUAUCCUGAAUGAAAGAAUUUUUUGGUAUUUUCGAUUAUUCAUAGCUUAUCACGUUUUAAAAGUAUUCGAGUAUAUUGUUAAGUUCAAGCUGGUCAUCGAAAAAGGUUCAUUCAUGAAGCUAGGGUACUAAGUAAUGGUCGAAGUUUCCUUUAAACCAAUUCUAGAAAAUCAAAAUGGCAUGGAUACUGAAUAAUAACUUAAGUUCGAGUUGUGGUUUAGUUGUGCUUUCUCUGAAGGGGUUAAAUUCGUUACUCAAAUGAGUAAUGGGUGAUUUUGAAUCAGACCUGGCCCAUUUUUCUCAUCUGAGGUAGUUUGAGGUCCACGUGGUUGUUAUUAGCUUGUGCAUCGACUCGUAGCCAUACGGAUUCGAUAAUGGGGCUUCGAAAUAAAAGGCUGCAUAUUUUUCAGCCUCUUUUGGGCUGGUAUUUGAGCCCAGUUCACCUCUCGUUAGUAUAGAAGUUUUCACACAGUUUUGGGCCAAUGGUUAGAUUAGGCCCAAAAUCCUAAAAUAGAUUUAAAACAAGUUUGGUAAUCUAGCUAAUUGUAUUUGGAUCCCUCGACCAUUAAUUAAGAGAUCUUAUCAAAUACAAAUACAUACAACUUUAUAAAUUUAGUUUAAUUUACCUUUACAAAUAUAAUCAAGGUGUGCCAAUGCCAUAUAAAAUGGAACAAUUGCAAUGCCCUUGUUUAAUUAAUCUUGUAUUGAUUAUUAGAAUUCGAGGCAUGCCACCUAGUAAAUUUUCCGUGGCCCUCGCAAAUUCAUAAAAUACGCAAUUGCCUUAGACGCGCUAGUUAAAUAAUGUACUUUCCUAAAUAUGGCUGCACAUUUAUGUGACCCAAAUCCAAAUCUCAACAUUGGGUGAAAUAUGUUGUGAAUUAUAGGUGCAUUUAUGUGACAUGGUUCAAGAUGCAUUUUAACAACGUUGCAAUCUUCUUAUAAUUAAAUAAAGCGGUUAAAAGUUAAAACUUACACAAAGGUACAAAAAUUUAUUAAAAACAGAUAAUUGAGCCGAAUAUAUUAGUUGAGCGACCAUGCUAGAACCACGGAACUCGGGAAUGCCUAACAUAUUCUCCCGGGUUAACAAAAUUCCUUACCCGGAUUUCUAGCUCGCAGGCUGUAUACAAAUUCAAACCUUCCUCGACUCAGGAUUUAAACCGGUAAUUUGGGACACCAUUAAUUAUCCUAAGUGGAGACUCUGAAAUCUUUAAAUAAAUAAAUCCUGUUUCGAUUGUCCUUUAAUUGAAAAAAAUCCUUAUCUACACCCUUUGGCAGGGUGUAGUUUAAAAAAGAAGGUAUGACAAGGGUCAUGUCAUCUUCGUGCAGGAUCACAUCCACUAUCUCUACUAAGGAGAAAUUAUAAUAUUCACUGGGUCUCCUCAUGUAUUGUUGAACGUUGAAUAUGACUUCUUCAUCGUUCAACCUCAUUUUUAAUUCCCAAUUUCACAAUCGAUCAUUGCUCUCCCAGUGGCUAAGAAUGCCCCCCCAAAAUAACAGGUAUCUCUUAGUCUACCUGGAAAUCUAGAAUAACAAAGUCUGCAAGGAACAUAUACUUCCCCACUUGUACCAACACAUCAUCAAGAAUCCUUGUCAGCCUUUUAACCAUGCGGUCAGCCAGUUGCAAAAGAAUCAAAGUCGGGCUAGCUUUGCCAAUGCCCAGUUUGGUAUAUAUGGCCAGCGUUAUCAAGUUAAUGCUGGCUCCUAAGUCAUAUAACUCCUUUGCAAAGGCAUAACUCCCAAUAGUGCAUGGAAUAGUAAAGCUACCUAGAUUAGACAUCUAUUGAGCCAUGGGUCUUGUCACUACUGCAUUGCAUGUCAGUGUCAGAGUUACUGUGGAUAGUUCAUGAAAAUCAAACUUUCUUGACAUUAGGUCCUUCAUCAUCUUUGCAUAGCCUGGCAUCUCCCUCAAAACAUCCAUCAGAGGAAUAUUCAAUUGAAUUUGAAGCAACAUAUCCAUGAAUUUCCUGUAUUGAUCUUCCUUAUUUUGUUUUACUAGUCUCUGAGGGAAUGGUGCAAGCAUCACCCUUUCUGCACUGUUUGCUGGCUUUUGUCCGUUGGGGUUCUGUGGCAUAAGAGUUACCACAUGUUCUGUAGAUUGUUCACUCUCUUUAGCUUUACCUUAUCAUCCUGAACCUGUUCAACCACCACUUCAGUAAGUUCUAUUGAUUCAUCUACCUCCAAUGGAACUAGAGUGGUUGGUGUAGUCUCUUUGUUGGCUUGUGCAACUUCCUGCUCCCUAUCUAAAUCUCUCCUGUUCCAAAUACUUGCUGCCAUUAGCUGAUACGGGUUUUGCUCCUUGGUUUAAUGUUCGUAUCUACUGGCAAUGUUCCCUGGGGGCGGUUGUUUAAGGCCAUAGUCAACUGCCAUAACUGAGUUUUAAUAUUCUUUAUUGCUGAGUCAUGCACUACCAACGUUUCCUGUAUCUUACCAUUUGUUCCAAUGAAUUAAUGAAAUAUACCCCUGAUCCCUACCAUGUUGUUAUCUUGUUGCUAAGGAGGUGGUUCAUAUGUCAACUAUUGCUGGUUCUGUUGUGGAUAGUCCUGUUGUCUCUGAUAUGGCACCAUUUUCCCUUGGGGUUGCAUACCUCCAGGUUGUGGCAUGUUUGGUCUGUAUUGCUGAUUUGGUGCUGGUCUCCACUGUUGUCCUCCUUGUCUCUAACCCCCAAUGUUGUUGACAUAAUUCAUAUAUUCUCUUAGCCCUGGUUGUGAACUUCUCCUCUCCAUAAACACACAUAAGAUUUCUUAACGCAAUAAUAUGCACUUGCGUUGUGCCCAUUUCAUCAAUCUUCUUUGUCAAUAUACUCAUCUACGUCAUGAGUGUGGCUAUGUUGUCUACAUGCAAAUUAUUUGGGUCAAGAGGAACUGAAUGCACUAUUGCUGCCAGUUUUGUACCUCUCACCAUUCGCCCCGAAUUCUGCGACAUCUUGUCAACAAGGAUUUUGCACUCGGUGAAUGUCUUACUAAAAAAUGCUCCCCCAGUUGAAGCAUCUACAUUGGCCUUUAGAUUUUUAGCUAACCCCAUGUAGAAUCUCUGGCCGAGCAUCUGGUCUGGAAUACCAUGGUGGGGACACUUCACUAGCAUCCCUUAGAAUCUUUCCCAAGUUUCUUGCAAGGUCUAAAUAGGCUGCUGCUUGUACUGCAAUAUUUCAUCAAUCUACCUUGAAGUCUUGUUGGGUGGGUAAAACAUAUUUAGGAACUGCUUGACUAAUUCCUCCUAGGUGACAAUAGAAUUUACUGGGAGCAAAUUUAGCCAAGUUUGAGCUUCCCCAGUCAUAGAGAUGAGAACAGUAAAAACUUGACAGCUUCUAGGGUCAAAUUUGGAUACCUUUGGGCCACACAAAUUGAUAGAAAAAUUUACAAAUAUCGUUGAGGGUCUUCAAUGUGUGACCCGGAGAAUAAUCCCUUUUAUGCUGAAGAUGCAUCAUGUUGCUGGUGAUCUGGAAUGUCUCCGCUUGUAUUGGGGGCACAACUACGGCAGUGGCCAGGUUGUCAGCUGUCAGUUGUGCCUAAUCAUAAAGUGCAGCUUUUGGCACAAGAGGUGCCACCACUCUGAUGUUUAGGUCAGCUGGCUCAUCCCUGAUGUUUCCGUUGACGUUAUCUACGUGACCCAUGUCCCUUUCAAGUUUGUGUGGUUGUUGUUAUUGUUGGAUCCUCUUGUUAGCACGAUUCAAUGCGCUGAAUAUUUUCUCGGGUCUCAGGUUCCUUCAAGAAGAUCUCCAGUCCUCAAAGAAUUUCUAGGCAUACACCUGAACCCCACAAGAGUUCAAAUUUGAGAAUUUAAAUGAAAAAUAUUCUUUAACACCUUCAAAAAUUGAUCUAAACUAAUAAUUCUAGCAUUACUUCUAAGUUGUAAUAUAUAACACUGUUAAUUCCCCGGCAAUGGCGUCAAAAUUUGAUCAUGCCCAACUAUGCCUUCUAAAAGACAAAGUGGUCGUUGCAAAUAUAAUCUGGUUUUAAGUUUGGAGUCGAAUCCUCAGGGAACUAACCUAUCUAUUACAAAUCUUGCCAAUGCAAAUCAACUCAAACAACUUCCAGAUACAAGAUUUUAAUCAAUAGAGGUUGGGUUUUUGUUUAACUACUUCAAAGGAUAUUAAAAAUAAUUAUAUUCUAAAUCAAAGAUAAUUCAAGGGUAAAAAGGUCCAGGGCAUUUAUUUCCCCAACCGCUAGUUUAGGUCUUAACGCUUUUGCUAUAUUCAUACCAUAAUACUCAAUGAGGAUUGUGAGCUAUGGGUUAUCGUACUUAUCUCUCGAUCAACUACGAUAAUUUACUAGAGCAUUCUCUCGAGCUACUCAACUUGACAAUAAGUGCAACUCUGAAUUAUCCCACCAAAAGUUUUGUUAUCUCUAACCCCACUUUUAAGUUCAAGUAAUGAAUCUCUUCAAUUACCCAAAAGUGGUGUAUUGCUAGUUUAGGUCUUAACUCUUUUGCUAUAAUUUCGCCGUAAUACUCUAUGAUGAUUAUGAGCUAUGGGUUAUUGUAAUUAUAUCUCGAUCAACUACGAUAAUUUACUAGAGUAUUCUCUCGAACUACUCUAGCUGACAAUAUGUGCAUCUCUGAAUUAUCCCAUCAAAGUUUCGUUAUCUCUAACCCUACUUUUAAGUUUAAGUAAUGAAUCUCUUCCAUUAUUCAAAAGCGGUAUUGUUCAACAACAGUCUAACCUAAUAUUCUUUUUCAAGCAACAUAAGGCAAUUAGACACGAUUAAUCAAGGGCCCAUUCAAUUAAUCACCAUACAAAACGUAGUUGAACACUCAUAUAAUAAAUCCGGCUUGGUUAUAACAAAGUUGAGUCAAAACUUCAUCCAACAAUUGUUUCCAUCAAUCCUAGAUCAAUUCUUUAGCUACUCAUAACAAAGCAAGAUAAAACAACAAAAUUCUUCAUAAUGUGUAAUUGCAAGAAAUAAAAGGAGAUAGAAGAACUCUAAUGUUUGGUUGAUCUUCUCACACUUGUUAUUGCCUCUAAAGUAGUCUAAAAACAAUCUUGAUACUUUCUUGGGUGAGCUUCUUGAGUUUAUAAGGUUUUGGAAUAAGUUUUUCCCGAGUUACACUUUGAUCCCACAAGUUCUGGGCACUGCACAGUUCACCGCAGCCACAGAACGACCGUGGCGAGAGCCAAACGUUUUGCGUGCGUUUGUGGCCUACCGAAGUCCCACCUCGGUCCUCCACGGUCAUAGUGGAUUCAAAACCAGUCCCUUUUUUGCUUCUUUAUGCUUGGGUGCUUCUUGCUUGGAUGAUUUUUUCACACUAUUAACUCCAAAACACUCCAUAGUUCUUCCUAACUUCGAUUAGUUCCUACAAAGCAAAAGAACACCAAUUAGAGCAUUUUGUUAUAUUUAGCCUAUAAACAACAAUGACACAUGGUCCAAUUAGGGUUUAAAUAUCGUCUAUAUAGCCAACUAUCAAGAACCUUUAGGAAAAACUUCACAUUCUUGAAUUUUUGUCAUGCCCAUCUGUUGAUUCUGGUACUAAAUGUCACACCUCCUUUUUACACGGAUACCUCGAAGGAUGACACCUAUAAUGGAGUUUUUCCAAUUAAAGUGACAUUAUUUGAAAUGAGAUUAUUUAUUUAUUUUUAGAGUCGCCAGUUAGGAUAGAUUUGGUUUUUUGGUGUCUCAAGUCACCGGUUUAUUUAGAAUCCCGAAUCGAGGAAAUUUCCGACUACCCAAAUGAAGUCCGUGAACCAAAAAUUCUAAGUAAGGAAUUCUGUUGACCCGAGGGAAGGUGUUAGGCACCCCCGGAUCCCGUGGUUCUAGCACGGUCGCUAAAACUACUAUAAUUGGCUAAAAUGCAAAUUUUGCACAUGUUCAUCCUAUAGUGUAGUUUUAAGUGAUUUAUGCCACUUUUAACAUGUUUAAGAAUAUUGCAACGGUAUUUAAAUGCAUCUCGAACCACGUCACGUAAAUGCAUCAGCGGUUUUUGACAUUUUUUAACAUCGUUGAGAUUUAUGAUUUGGGUCACAUAAAUGCGCACCCUAAUUUAGGAAGAUGAAUUAUUAAAAUAACGCGCCUAAAGCAACUACGCGUUUUUAACUUCGUGGGAAAUCUAUGAAAUUCGCUAAAUGGCGUCUCCCGGAUUUCUAAGAAUUUUACUAUAAUUAGAGGGCCACACAACAUAUGAUUUUGUUUAGCGUGGCACACUCAUUUUAUUUUUUUUAGAAAGGCAACCUAAAGAAACUAUGAUUUUUCUAUUAUACGUGUCUCUAAAAUAAAAGACAAGUCCUAAUUAAUUCAUAUGUUCAUGAUAUAUUAAAAGGAAACGUUCAACAUGGAUAUCUUCAGCAUUUUUAUGGCUGAUUUCUGCAAUUGGGCUUUGUUAUUAGAAGUGGCAAGCCCAGAGAGUAUAUUUUCCUAUCUCUCACAACUACAACGGUUUGGGCCUUCAGUUUGAGCCCAGAAACGGAAACUACAAUUUAAUCACAAGGCAAGCGUAGCACUCCACAAAUCUCUAUGUCACAGCUGUUUAAAAUCACUUAUAUUUUGAUAAUUCUAACGUUUCAAUGUCGCCUAACGGAGUAAUUUUCAUAUAGUGAUCCUUUUCUUGCUUUUGAAUCAAUAUAAUAAAACUCAAGUUUAAAUUAGAUAUAUAUAAAUUGAUAGACCUAGCAAUGUGAAUCAGAAUAGUAUACACAUGAUGACUCUCUAUUAUUGAACUACACACGAGGAUCAAGCAGAUUAUUGACUAUCAUAUUUCAUCCUACAGAAAUUUUAAAAUAAUUUGAUAUUGAACAUUUCAAAUAACUUGCAACAGUCUAGCAUAGUCCAAGUGUGUAUAUAUUACAGCACCAAUCCAUUGAGACGAAUGUUCUAAAUAUCACUAAACAAGUAGUGUUUAUAGCUAUAACAUUAACAUAAAAAAUAAAAAUGUCUUCAUUAUCAAAUGUGACCACGCAUACAUGCAGCAGUGCUUUUCCAGAUCUCCUGAGUGAGAAUAAAUACCUGGAAUUACAGCAAAGAAGAAAGCACCUAUGACCAAUGUAAACAAGAAGAAACAAUCAGCUGCAAAUCGACCAAUUAAAACCCAGAAAUAGUAUCAGGAAGUCCAGGAAAGUUUUAAAAGACCAACAACACCAAUAAAUUCCAAUCCUAUAGCUCGAACAAAGCAAUCCAGUCCGAGAUCAAUGCCCAAAAUAGGUCUGAAGAUUCCAACACCCAAAAUACAUAUGCUUCAAGUUACCUUCAUUUUAUAAUAGAUAGAAUUUUGAUCAUCCGGAAGUUUUUUUAGGAGAUUUUUGCCAGAAUAAGAGAGCUUGGGAUAUUUUCAAGGAAUUUUAGAUGGUGUCUAAAACUCUUUUUUUUUCUCUCCUUUUUCUUUAAAAGCAAUAAGAUGCCUUUUUAUAGCCAAAUCGUUAGGGCAACUCUCUCUUUUUGUGUUUUCUCAUUACUCACUUCCCUAUUUCUUAGAAUUGCUUGAUUAGUCCCUUAUUUUCUAGCUUGUGCCUCAAGUUUUAUUAAAGAAUUACUAGAAAUUGGUCUUUGAACGUCCAACUAGAAGGUUCCAAGGGUUUGUUGCAAGAUUCCAAUGCUCAAAUACCCCUAUUACCCUGUCUUUUCUUUCCAAUUACUUAACCUAAAUAUUUCCACCCUGGUUCCUAUCAAUUUGGUCAGAAGUUGACCAUAGUUAACUACUCAGGGCCAUAAACCAUAAACAAAAUCAUAAUAUCAUUAUCAAUUGAGUUAAACCUUAAUAAGUUGAGCUGGCUAAUCAUUCAAUUUAACCAAGACUAAACUAUACUACUACACCAUAGUCUCAUUAUCAAUUGGGUUAACCUUAAUAAGCUGAGCAUGACUAACCAUUCAAUUUAACCAAGACUAAACUAUACUACUAAAAACAAACAAAAAUUAUCAAAGUUGAUCAGCAACAAGUCAAUGAAUCACAAAUAUAGAGGUAGAUUUAGGCUAGUACCAAGAAUGCGAGACUAAAUUAAUCAAAGGCAAAACAAAGCUAACCAACACAAAUUUAAAAUCAACUACAUGGUUUAUCAUAAAACGAAUAUUUAUCAACUGAAACAAAGAGAAAAGGUCAAACCAGGGAAAGGAUGAACAAUUUGAGCUAACCUAAAAUACAUAAUUACCCAAUCGAAACAAGAAAAAUCUAGAAAUCUAAUCGAUAAGGAAUCAUCCAAAGCGGAUUAUCAAAGGCUUUAAAUAGAGGCACAUAAUUUUGAAUGAAAAAAAAUUCAUAACAGAAGAUUAUUAUAGAUGAGCAAGUAGAACAAAAAUAUAAUCACACAAACCAAAACAACAAAAAAGAAUGAAUAGAAGACAAAAAGAAUCGGGGAAGUUAGCAUAAGAAAAUAGCACAACCCCAAAACCCAUGACCUUCGCAUCUUAGGGUUUCCGGCCAUCUUUGAUUUCAAAUUUGAGAGGGUCUUUGGCCUUUUGGGAAAGGCUGAGCAAUCAUUUGAGAGGAGGAGGGUACCAAGUGUAAGAUUGGUUGGGUUUGGGAUGGGUUUGGGCUUCAGACCAAUAUUAGAUUUGAUUUUUGACAAAGACCAAUUAUAUUUGAGGGUCCCUGGUUAUGGAUUUGUGGAGAGGGAGAUGAGAGGGUUGCGUGGUGUCAGUUUAAAAGGAUUCCAGGGAAGUUGAAGAUUUGGUCGGAGCUUCGGAUGAAUAUUCGAAGCGAUUAACAAAGGUUUGAAGGAAAUUAGGGCUGGAUCCGUUAUGGGAAUGGGGCGAGGGACCUAGGGUGCUUAUUUUUUGAAUGUUUCGACGGUGGCGCCGCGGCGGAGGCAGCGUGCAAAGAUUUAUAUAUUCGAGGAGUUUGGCUUAUAGUUGAAAGCUGGCUUUUAUGGCAUUGGAAAUAGGAGGGAAUUGUGGUUCAGGGGUGUAUUUUUGGGAGACAUUGGAGCUUUGCUGCUGGUGGACAGGAAUAUAGGUCGGCGGCUGUGAGGCGGCACAUCAGUGGAGACGAAGUUACGAGGAGGAGGCAUUUGGUCUCUAGGGUUUGAUAGAAUUCGGACACUUUUAUGUGAUAUUCACAUCGAACCCAAGCCAUUGGAUCAUGGCUAAUGAACAGUUGAGAUUGCUGGCCCCAAAACAACAUCGUUUUGGGGCGUCUCUAAUGGCAUACCGGGUCAGGGACAGGUUGGGCCAGUUUUUGGUGAUUUGGACGAGUAGGGGUGGGGCCAUCCAGAUUUGGCCCAAUUGUGGCCAUCCUGAACUCAUCUUUUUAAUAUAUUAUUCAAAACUAAUAAGUCACAAUUACCUGCUAUUAUUUAAAAGAAAAAUUAACAAAAAUCAAAUUCUUCUUUGUAAUUUUUGUACUUUGAAAAAAAAAUCUAAUUACUAAUUAAUUCUAACAAAAAUUAUGUAACAAUCAAAUUCUGAAUGCUUAUGCAAUUUUAUUUUGUAUUUAUAUGACUUAUCAUGCAUGCACCAAUGAAAAUACACACAAACAUGCGCAAUUAAAUCCUAAAAAUUGAAUAAUAAAAAGGAGAAAUCCUAACUCUGGGAAUUCUGUAGGAGUAAUUUUAAAGAGGCAAAAAUCACGUGCUCACACUAAACUUCAGUUAUUCUAUUCUCUCACUGAUAGUGAUAACACGUGCUACAGGUCAUGACGAUCGACCACCAGUACCACUAGUUGGGUCCACUAGAAGCUGAGGUCGUGGUCAAGGCCGUGGUAAAGGUAGGGGUAUAGGCGAUACAAUAGCCAAGGCAGCACCUUCAGAUCCACCAACUGCCCUGUGCAUAAUCAGGCUCCAACUGGAGAUGCUCCAGCAGCUUCAGCUCAUGAACUAACUAUGCCUAUUGUUAUUCUGGGUCUCCAAGAGAGCUUAGCUCAGAUCUUGUCUGUGUGCACUAAUAUUGCUUAGGCGGUUGCAAUUUCUACCACAACGACUAAUUCUCAGGCCGGGGGGAGACACUCAGACUCCCACAACUCGUACCACCGAGAAGGUUGCUCAGGGAUUUCAGACACCAGAGGCACCACCAACUCAGUCGGUUGCACCUGCUCCGAAUUAUGUGGUUAUAGUUAUGCCUGUUGACGAGUAGUGUAGAUUGGAGAGUUUGGUUGACUUCAACCUCCGACUUUCAAUGGUAUUGAGGCCGAGGUUGCGUAGGGUUUCUUAGACAAGUGUGAGAGGAUUAUAUAUACACCAGGUAUUCUAGAAAAAAAGUGGGGUCUCAUUUACAACUUUUCAAUUUUUUUGGAGCUGCCUUCACUUCGUGGGAGGCUUAUGAGAGCCGUAGGUUUAUUAGUGCAGCGCCGGUUACUUGGAAUCAACUCAUCAUUCUCUUCCUGGAGAAGUAUGUACCACAUUCGCACAGAGAGGAGCUAAGGAGGUAGUUCGAAUAACUGCAUGAUAGGGAUAUAACCGUGGCACAAUAUAAGAUGAGAUUCUCCGAGUUGGCCCAUCAUGUAUCUGGCUACCUCCCAUGAAUAGGAAGAGAAUUAGGAGGUUCAUUGAUGGCCUUGCUUAUCAGCUACAAAUCUUUCUGACCAGGCAGAGUAUAUGGUGCUUCUUUUGAGGAGGUGGUUGACAUUACUAGAGAGAUAGAGUCAGUUCAGAGCUAGGAGCGAGAUGAGAGGGAGGCCAAGAGGCCUGAGUGAUCUAGUAGUUUCAGUGGUGUUACUUUUAGAGGUCAAAUUUAGCAUGGAUGGGCUGUCUAUUUAAACAUGCUCAGCCAACUCGAUUAGGUCACCAUGGCGGAUCCUCGGGCCAUGGUUCUCACAACUCACAUCAGGGCCACUCAUCUCUCAAUGCCCUUACACCUUAGAGUUUGACUCAUGCACCAUCAAUCCAGGGUUCAUGUAUGCCUGGUUCUUCUAGUUGUUAUCCUGGUGCUCGGGGCUCCCUUCAGUCCCCACCGCCAUUUUCCAGGAGAGGUUGCUUUGAUGUGGAGAUUUGGGUCAUAUCAAGAGGUUGUGUCUCGGUCUUAUGGGAGGUUCAUCCCAAUAGAGGAUUCAGCAUUUGACUUUAGCACCAGUUACUUCCCCACCCACUCAACUAGCUCAGGGUGGAGGUGAGUCAACUAAGAGUCGUCCUGGAGGGGGGGGGGUUGAUCAUGUUCUGGUCAGGCCCGUUUUUAUGCCCUUCCAGCUAAAACAGAUGAUCUUGCUUUAGAUGCUAUUAUUACAGGUAUUGUCUCAGUCUGCCGUGGAGAUCCUAUAUACUAUUUGAUCAUGGAUCCACUUUUUCGUAUGUGUCGUCAUAUUUUGCUCGUUAUUUGGAUACGCCCUAUGAGUCUCUUGUUUUAACUGUUCAUGUGUGCACCCUGGUAGGUGAUACUGUUGUUGUGGACCGCAUAUAUCAGUCUUAUGUGGUGACUAUAUGGGGUUUAGAGACCUUACUGGACCUUCUAUUACUUUGUAUGGUGGACUUUCAUUUGAUGUUGGGCAUGGAUUGGUUAUCUCCAUGUCGUGCUAUUUUGGAUUGUCAUGCUAAGACAAUGACGUUUGCUAUGUCGAGUAUGCUGCAAUUGAGUGGUGAGGUUUGACUGAUUUUGUUCCUUGUAGGGUGAUCUCAUUCUUGAAGGCCCAGCAGAUGGUUGGGAAUGAUUUUCUUUCUUAUUUAGCCUUCUUGAGGAAUGUAAGUGCAGAGACUCCUACCAUUGAUUUAAUCUCGUUAGUGAGGGACUUUUCGAAUGUGUUUCCUGCAGACCAGUCGGGUAUGCCAAUGGACAUGGAUAUUGAAUUUUGUAUUUAUUUGGUGUCCAACACUCAGCCCAUUUCUAUUCAAAUGUAUCGUAUGUCACCGGCGUAGUUGAAUGGGUGGAAAGAGAAGCUUCAAGAACUCCUUGAUAAAGGGAUUUAUUUGUCCUACUAUGUCACCGUAGGGUGCGCCUGUUCUAUUUGUGAAGAAGAAGGAUGGCACAAUGAGGAUGUGCAUUGAUUAUAGGCAGUUGAACAAAGUUACAAUCAAUAACAAGUAUCCUUUGCCUCAUAUUGAUGAUUUAUUUGACUUGCUUCAGGGAGCAAGGGUGUUCUCCAAGAUUGAUCUCAAGUCGGGGUAUAAUAAAUUGAAGAUCAGGGACUCGAAUAUUCUUAAGACAACUUUCAGGACCCAAUAAAGUGAUUAUGAGUUCCGUGUGAUGUCUUUUAGGCUGACCAAUGUGCCAGCAAUGUUCAUGCAUUUGAUGAACAACGUGUUUCGGCCCUAUCUCGACUCGUUCUUUAUUGUAUUCAUUGAUGAUAUUCUGGUAUACUCAUGUAGUCAGGAGGAGCAUGUGGGGCAUUUGAGAGUUGUAUUACUGCAGUUGAGAGAGGAGAAGAUUUAUGCAAAGUUCUCCAAGUGUGAGUUUUGGCUCAGUUCAGUGGCUUUCUUGGGGAACGUGGUGUCCAGCAAUGGUAUUCAGGUUGAUCUGAAGAAGAUAGAGGCGGUUUAGAGUUGGCCCAGACCAUUCUCAACUAUAGAGAUUAACCGCUUUCUUGGUUUGGCGGGUUAUUACCGUCGGUUUUUUCAGGUAUUUUCAUCUAUAGCAUCACCCUUGACCAAAUUGACUCAAAAGGGUUCGCCUUUCAUGUUUGGAUGAGUGUGAGGCGAGCUUUCAGAAGCUCAAAACUACCUUGGACACAACUCCAGUGUUAGUCUUGUCAUCAGCUCCAGGUUCAUAUACAACGUAUUGUGAUGCUUUGAGAGUUGUUAUUGGGUGUGUUUGACGCAGAAGGGUAGAAUGUUUGCUUAUGCUUCUUGUCAGUUGAAGUCCCAUGAGAAGAACUACCCUGUUCAUGAUCUAGAGUUGGCUGCCAUUGUCCACGCAUUGAAGAUUUGGAGGCAUUAUCUCUAUGGUGUGUCUUAUGAGGUGUUUAGUAAUCAUCGUAGCCUUAAGCACUUGUUCAAGAAAAGGAUCUCAACUUGAGGCAGCGGAGAUGGUUGGAGCUGCAAAAGGAAUAUGAUAUCACUAUCUUGUACCAUCUGGGGAAGGCCAACGUAAUAGCCGAUGCCUUGAGUAGGAAGGCAGUGAGUAUGGGCAGUUUGGCGUAUAUAUCUGUUGGGGAGAGACCUCUUGCAGUUGAUGUUUAGGACUUGGCGAAUCACUUGUGAGGUUGUUAUCUCGGAGCCCAGUCGGAUCUUAGCUUAUGUAAUUUCUCCGUCUUCUUUGUGUGAUCACAUUAGAGAGAGCCAAUAUGAUGAUUCUCAUUCCUUAAGGACUGAUUUCAACGUGACAAUGCCAGAGAUGUGACUAUUGGUGAUGUUGGAGCCAAUAUGAUGAUGUAGAUGGACUUCAGGAGUUGAUUCUGAAGGAGGCCCAUAGCUCGUGGUAUUCCAUCCAUCUGGGUGUCGCGAAGAAGUAUCAGGAUUGGAGACAACAUUAUUUGUGGAGAAGAAUGAAGAAAGAUAUUGUGGGAUUUGUAGCUCGGUGCCUCAAUUGUCAGUAUGUGAAAUAUGAACAGUAGAGGCCGGGUGGCUUGCUUCAGCAGAUGGAUAUUCUCGAGUGGAAGUGGGAGCGGAUCACCAUGGAUUUUGUAGUUGGACUCCCAUGGACUUUGAGGAUGUUCAGUGCUAUUUGGGUGAUUGUGGAUUGGCUGACCAAGUCCGUGUACUUCAUUCUUAUACGUACUAACUAUUCUUCAGAGUCGUUAGCAGAUAUUUAUGUUAAGGAGAUUGUUCGCUUGCUUGGUGUCCCCGUUUCUAUCAUUUCAGAUAGAAGUACCUAGUUUACUUUGCAGUUUUGGAGAGCCAUGCAGCAUGAGUUGGGUACUCAGGUUAAGUUGAGCAUAUCUUUUCACCCUUAAACAGACGACAGUCUGAGCGCACUAUUCAGAUAUUGGUGGACAUGUUGCGCGGUUGUGCCAACAAUUUUGGGGGUUUAUGGGAUUAGUUUAUACCACUCAUGGAGUUUGCAUAUAACAAUAGUUAUUAGUCGAGUAUUUAGAUGGCUCCACUUGAGCCUUAUUAUAUGGGAGAUGAUGUAGAUCUCCAGUCGUUAGUUCAAGCCGGGUGAGGCUAGGAUUUUGGGUAUAGACUUGGUGCAGGAUGCUUUAGACAAGGUGAAGG
This 31052-nucleotide long non-coding RNA is filed under the name Nicotiana benthamiana. RNAcentral's name for it is "long non-coding RNA (NBEN_LNC037582)". The record is from RNAcentral. Lineage: Eukaryota; Viridiplantae; Streptophyta; Magnoliopsida; Solanales; Solanaceae.